Long non-coding RNA from Bos taurus (domestic cattle), 1889 nucleotides. NCBI's taxonomy places the organism in Eukaryota, Metazoa, Chordata, Mammalia, Artiodactyla, Bovidae. The record is from Ensembl.
GGAGGCAGUCGUUGAAAGUCCCAGGUGGCUCUGAAACCAUUAAGUAGAGCUAGAGAUGGCAGAUCAAUGAAGGCAGGGCUGGGCAUUUGGUCCUGUUCACAGCAGAAAUCCUAGUGCCUAGGACAGUGCACAGAAUACAGCAGCACUCCAGAAAUACUUGUUGAAAGGAUGGUGACCUGAAGGCAGUGCUGGGUCAGAGAUAUGUUAUAGCUGUUUAGUGGCGGAUGGUGAUGUGAAAAGUGUGUGACCUUCAGAAGAUAUUGUUUUGGAAUCACUUAAGAGGGCCCAAGAAGUCAAGCCAGGAGCUUCUUUAGGGUCUCUGCUCUGAUCUUUGAGGGGAGGAACGGAGACUGUAAGGCAGAGAAAUCAUGUGGAGAGGACACUGCGGGACUUCCAAGUUAUGGUUCUGGUGUUUGUGAGUGGAGAGUUGCAUCCUGAAAUCAAGAAAUAGAGGGUUUGUUUCCUGUAGAACACAAGAAAGUCUCAGAGUGACCAUGGGUGUGGGAGCUGAUGGCCAUAGCUAUCUGAUGUAUGUGACACUGAGUUCAGUGGAAAAAAACAGAACCCAUCUGUAUGGUCUGGCCACUCAAGAUGGCUGUUUUCCUGCUCUUGGUACAUCCCCUGCUCAACCAGCUCCUGCUUCCUCUACACCUACUCACAAGGUUAUGGUGCCAAAGAAUGGAUGCUUUCGAAUUGUGCUGGAGAAGACUCUGGAGAGUCCCUUGGACUACAAGGAGAUGAAACCAGUCAAUCCUAAAGGAAAUCAACCCUGAAUAUUCACUGGAAGGACUGAGGCUGAAGCUGAAGCUCCAAUACUUUGGCCACCUGAUGCAAAGAGCCAACUCAUUGGAAAAGACCCUGAUGCUGGGAAAGAUGGAAGGCAGAAAGAGAAGAGGAUGAGCAUGUUUGGAUAGCACCACCGACUCAAUGGACAUGAAUUUGAGCAAGCUCCGGAAGAUGGUGAAGGACAGAGGAGCCUGGCGUGCUUGAGGCGUUCAUGAGGUCACAAAGAGUGGGACAGGACUGAGCGGCUGAACAACAACCUGCCCCUUAGGUCAGAACGGCUCCACCUGGUGGUUUAUGAAAGGAAAGCACCUGCCCUCAGGAUGCUUGAAACCAGCCGCGAGGGGCGUGCCUCAGCGGCUGGUUUCCCUGGUAACGGAUCAGCCUUUCUGACAUCAUUUCCUCCUACAAAUGGAGGAGGAGCCUCCUCCUCCCUGGGGUAGUGAAUAGUGCUACCAUGUCUGGCGUCUGUGGGGCAUGGUGGGGUGCUGCUCCAGGACCUUUCUUCAGCAUCAGCCUGGAGAACGAGAGCAGUAACCAGCCUUUGGAAUUCCGGCAAAGUUUCUUCCCUGGGAUCCAUUGUCUCUGUCACGUGAAAAUGACAACAAUGGAUUCGUUACCACUCAGCCACCAGGGAAGCCCACCAACAGCUAUACUUGCAGACAAAUGGCAUCUUUGAAAAAGCUGUACAGAUCUCCUCUUGUCCAUGAUGCCUUUUCUAAGUGGUUGAGUUAGAAUAAUGCUUCCACUUCAUACCCCUCAAUGUGUCUCCCUAGACACCAGUCCUGGACCUCAUGUUACAAGAGUCCUCCUCUGUCUAUACUACUCCUCAAGCCCAGGGUUCUGUUGGGCUAAGUGAAUGUGGACCCCGGCCCUGCUCUGGACCACACGUCCUGUACACAAGACCUAGGAAUUCUCUGCUGAAAUGUCCAAGUCCACUUCUAAGCCUGCAUGGAUUCUUCCCAAUGUUCCUCCUGUAUCUGAGGGCAGAUGGCAUUGCUGGGCACAGCCUCAGGCCUGAAAGCUGGCCAAGGAGGCAGCUGUUUGAAUGUCCAGAUGGCUCCUGUCGUGCGCCUGAGGCCCUUCAUGGUUUGAACCUCAUUGAA